Molecule: long non-coding RNA, 995 nt
Organism: Cygnus atratus (black swan)
Lineage: Eukaryota; Metazoa; Chordata; Aves; Anseriformes; Anatidae
Exons: 3
Source: RefSeq, a predicted model, not a curated record
GCCGCUUCCUGCCGCCGAUGCUGCAAAGCGCUGCUUAAAUAUUUAAGGCUUCCCUUGCGAGAAAGUGCCUCGUCACCCUGGGCGCUGUUUGUGUGGGAAACGCUGCUCAGCACACUGGCUCCUGAUUAUGCUCAGCUCCUUUUGUCUCACCCUUGAAGAGAUGUUUUCCAUCAGAGCCGGGAUAACGAAGCCAUCUCCACAUUGAGCAGAGGCCCCCUUGGUGCCCGGUGAUGGAGCAGAGGCCGGAGAGGGGACGCGAGGACACCCAACCACCAGCACCCAGCCAGAGGAGCACCUGGGGGCUGCCUCUGAUCCAGCCCAAAGAGCACACGAGAAAAGACGAAGGGAGAAAAGGGAGAGGAAGGGGAGCGCCCCCCGGCUCCACAAGGAUGCUCCGGUGGAGAUGGAGCUGGAGAGGAAGAGGAGGCUCUUCCCAAGGACCACGCUGCCUCAAACACGCUCUGCUCCGCCGCGAGCUCCAUCACAGCCUCGUGCGUGAAGACGGAAACCCUGCCUGGCCCUGAAGCCUCAAAUAAUUCACCGCUUUCUCCAUCCGUCCCCCGAAACCAGCAGCGCUGCUUUGUUCGAAUUAAAGAUUUCCCCCAGGACCGCAACCUGGCUCCUGCUUUGCAGAUUUACAGCUGCUGGAAAGGGAUAAAAAAUGUGCUUUUUUUUUUUUUUUUUUUUUGAUGGCAAGUGCUCCCGGUAGGACGCCUUGACGUCUGGGUAAUUUCGUUAUCCGGGCACGAGGGGCCCCUUCCUUCUGCUCUGGCUCUUCCAGCACUUUGCAUAAUAAAUUCGCAGAAAGCAGCAGAGGACUUUUACCUUCUUUCCGAGCGUCGGAGCGCGCGAAGGAGCAGGGAGGGAAGGGGAUUCCCCACCAAACAGCCCCGCGGCGAUGCCAGGUGGGAGGAACAGAUCUUGGAAACAGCUGGACGGCCGCGAAGCUCGCCCUCUCUCCGCCGUUGCCUCCCAGAUAUCUGCAGGCAAAGCAG